RNAcentral lists this ribosomal RNA (630 nucleotides) under Bradyrhizobium japonicum. RNAcentral describes it as "bacterial SSU rRNA". It matches the Rfam family "Bacterial small subunit ribosomal RNA", at positions 57 to 732 of the family's 1533-position model. The record is from RNAcentral. Lineage: Bacteria; Pseudomonadati; Pseudomonadota; Alphaproteobacteria; Hyphomicrobiales; Nitrobacteraceae.
GCAGUCGAGCGGGCGUAGCAAUACGUCAGCGGCAGACGGGUGAGUAACGCGUGGGAACGUACCUUUUGGUUCGGAACAACACAGGGAAACUUGUGCUAAUACCGGAUAAGCCCUUACGGGGAAAGAUUUAUCGCCGAAAGAUCGGCCCGCGUCUGAUUAGCUAGUUGGUGAGGUAAUGGCUCACCAAGGCGACGAUCAGUAGCUGGUCUGAGAGGAUGAUCAGCCACAUUGGGACUGAGACACGGCCCAAACUCCUACGGGAGGCAGCAGUGGGGAAUAUUGGACAAUGGGGGCAACCCUGAUCCAGCCAUGCCGCGUGAGUGAUGAAGGCCCUAGGGUUGUAAAGCUCUUUUGUGCGGGAAGAUAAUGACGGUACCGCAAGAAUAAGCCCCGGCUAACUUCGUGCCAGCAGCCGCGGUAAUACGAAGGGGGCUAGCGUUGCUCGGAAUCACUGGGCGUAAAGGGUGCGUAGGCGGGUCUUUAAGUCAGGGGUGAAAUCCUGGAGCUCAACUCCAGAACUGCCUUUGAUACUGAGGAUCUUGAGUUCGGGAGAGGUGAGUGGAACUGCGAGUGUAGAGGUGAAAUUCGUAGAUAUUCGCAAGAACACCAGUGGCGAAGGCGGCUCACUGG